GAUGAAGAACGUAGCAAAAUGCGAUACUUGGUGUGAAUUGCAGAAUCCCGUGAACCAUCGAGUUUUUGAACGCAAGUUGCGCCCGAAGCCUUUUGGCCGAGGGCACGUCUGCCUGGGCGUCACGCAUCGCGUCGCCCCCCACAAUUCUCCGUAAAGGGAGCAUGUGUUUUGGGGGCGGAUACUGGUCUCCCGUGCUCAUGGCGCGGUUGGCCGAAAUAGGAGUCCCUUCGAUGGACGCACGAACUAGUGGUGGUCGUAAAAACCCUCGUCUUUUGUUUCGUGCCGUUAGUCGCGAGGGAAGCUCUUCAAAAACCCCAACGCGUCGUCUCUUGACGGCGCUUCGACCGCGACCCCAGGUCAGGCGGGACUACCCGCUGAGUUUAAGCAUAUCAAUAAGCGGAGGA
This 404-nucleotide unclassified non-coding RNA is filed under the name soil metagenome. RNAcentral describes it as "partial contains 5.8S ribosomal RNA, internal transcribed spacer 2, and large subunit ribosomal RNA". The stretch from base 1 to 122 matches the Rfam family "5.8S ribosomal RNA", at positions 35 to 154 of the family's 154-position model. The record is from RNAcentral.